Molecule: unclassified non-coding RNA, 341 nt
Filed under: soil metagenome
Description: partial contains 5.8S ribosomal RNA, internal transcribed spacer 2, and large subunit ribosomal RNA
Rfam family: 5.8S ribosomal RNA (bases 1-120)
Source: RNAcentral
GAUGAAGAACGCAGUGAAAUGCGAUAAGUAGUGUGAAUUGCAGAAUUCAGUGAAUCAUCGAAUCUUUGAACGCACAUUGCGCCCUUUGGUAUUCCAAAGGGCAUGCCUGUUCGAGCGUCAUUUGUACCCUCAAGCUUUGCUUGGUGUUGGGCGUCUUGUCUCUAGCUUUGCUGGAGACUCGCCUUAAAGUAAUUGGCAGCCGGCCUACUGGUUUCGGAGCGCAGCACAAGUCGCACUCUCUAUCAGCAAAGGUCUAGCAUCCAUUAAGCCUUUUUUUCAACUUUUGACCUCUGAUCAGGUAGGGAUACCCGCUGAACUUAAGCAUAUCAAUAAGCGGAGGA